This 3017-nucleotide long non-coding RNA is filed under the name Homo sapiens (human). RNAcentral's name for it is "HSALNT0101779". Lineage: Eukaryota; Metazoa; Chordata; Mammalia; Primates; Hominidae. The record is from RNAcentral.
GUGAAGAGCAUGGCAUCCAAUACAGAGAGCUCAGGGUUAUGGACUGAUGAGAUGCACCAAGCUGUUGGGGACACAGUGUGGCUGGGAGCUCCAGAAUGGGGGUUAUCCUCAGUCAGGACUGCCACUCCCCGCUCUGGGUGUGGGCUACACUCCCUCUCCCUUCAUAGUGCCCACCCUCGAGGAGAAGCACCUUCAAGGAUGCACGCUCCUGCCUCUGGGAAUGUCAAAAGAUAGUUGGCAGGAAGUGCCUGGCACAGAGGCGGGGGCUCAGUUGUUAUUGAUAAUUAGGAGCUCAACAGGAACUCGAACCCAAAAAUUGUCCUCAGAGUGCCGAGGUAUUUAUUUGCACAGAGAGUUUGCCAAGUUCCUUCUGACUUCUCUUUCCCUUGCCAUCCCCCACAGUGGCUGGGAACCCUGCAAGUCAACGGCUUUGAACUGGGACUUCAAAGAGAAGCCGAGCUCUGUUCUUCAAACAGGUUUAUAAAGAGAUUUUGAUACAAGACAACAAUACUUGUCAGCAGUGCCCAGUUAUCGUCCUUCCCUUUGUAGUUUUAUUAGGAAAUAAUUUCCCGGCUGGUGAGGCUCCUGCUGGCACGCCUUGUUUCUCUACUUGCGACUGGAUCUGCCCACCGGAGGGGCUGCCCCUCGCACUGCAGCAGUUUUGCCAGCUGGGGUCCCGAGAAAGACGUCACCAAAGGGUCUCCUGGCAGCCAAUUUACCAUCUGCCCCCCCGCCCCCGCCUCCUCUCGCCCUUUGUAGCAAAAAUGCAAUUUGUUUGACCUCUGGGGUGGUUUAAAAUCCCAGCUUCUCAAGUGCCCCCCGAUUACUAUUUUUUUUUUUUUAAGAAGGAAGAGAAAGAGGAAACUGACCAGAAAAGAAAAGAAUAAUUUAAGCCUCCCUUUCUAUCAUGUCCUGCAUUUUGGGUUGGCAACAGAUUUCCCAAUAGAUGAAAACUAAAGAGCCCAGUUCCUUUGGGAAUCAAGCAGGAGCAUUUGGAGCCUGCAUUUAAGCCUAGGCAGGGUGUGGCUUCCCAGAAGUGACUGUUUCUUCCUCUUUCCCCGGUGCUGUUUCUUUCCCGAUAUUUUGGCACACAGGGCAUUGAGUCUACUGUGUGUGGAGCACCGUGGCAGGUUCUGAGCAAGACAGAAAUGACGGACACCAGGUCCCUCUGGUCAUGUGUCUCUGCAUGGGUGUGGUGAGCUGGGGGGACAAGCACGCUCCACAGGGGCUCUGCACAGAGGCCUCUGCUCACAGCAGAGGAAGGGACCCUGGGCUUUGGGGGCACAGCUGUCCAGAGCCAUGCACCAGACCUGCUGGAGGUGGCUCUUGAUCCUCAGCUGAGGGAGAGCCAAUGGUCAGGGAGGGUGUGCUGUGGUGGUGGUUUUAGGAUGGGGCCCCUGGGAUGCACUUCCACACUAGAAAAGGGUGCAGACAGAGAGGGAGGGUGGAGUUGUGGGUGGGAGAAAAUAAUGGGUGGAUUCUGAUCCUGGGAGAGGUAGCACAGAAUAGAAUUGGGGCAGAAGGGGGCACCUAGCCCCAGAAAAACCUACAUUUCACUUCCUUUUUAUGAAAUUGGGAAAGAAUUGUGAGAGAAGGUGCUGAUUGUUUAGGGGGUUAGGGAGCAGAGAAUGUGGGCACGGUCACGUUUUCUGCCCUUUGUUCUCACUGGGAAAUAGGAAUUAAGGGUAUCUGCUGGCCAGGGGAGGGGUUUUAGGAAGUUACAGGCAGAAGCAUCUUAGAGAUUAUUUAGUUCAAAGCCUUCAUUUUAGCCAGUGAGGUUCAGAGAGAUGGAGGCAUUUCCCAAGGUAACACGUUGAUGAGUGGGGGAGCAGGGACUUGAACCCACGUCUGCUGCAUCCCAGGUCAGAGGCCACUGCUUUGCAGGGGGCUUGCUGCCUUCCUGAGGGUGCAGCCCUGUUCUGAGUCCACUGGGAGGCUGGAGGAGCCGUGGCAGCUGGACGAGGCCUUCUGGGAUUCUUUGCCACCUCAGUGAUGAGGCUGGCUCUAAUGCCCUCCCUCAGCUGAGAGGAGAGAGGUCAGUGCAGAGGGGAACCUGCUGCAGUCACGGGUCACCCAGGGUCACGUCAGGCCUCUGCACAAUGCACAGAGCUCCAGGCGUGCAGGAGGCACAGAGCUGAUGCCAUUCCUCGGACUCCGAAGAAGUUUGCUGACCGGGUAUUACUCACCUUCUCCUCAAUAAUUUCCUACUGUUGCCAGAGGAAAUAGUCAAUGCUUUCCCCAAGAAACUGCAGCAUAGAAAGCAGUCUCAGAACUUGUAGUUUCUGAGGAGAAAUGUGCAAGACCACAGGAAUAGCAGAGACCUGCUGGUUCCUGCCCAGGAUCUAUGCCCAUGUUAUUAUACCCAUUGGACAGAUGGGGAAACCUAAACAGAAAAAUCAGUGAUUUCCAAAGCUUCACCCAAAGGCAGUAAGAAAACUCAUAGCUUAAUGUUGCUGCAUUUCUUCCUGAAUCUUCCUCCUGCCGAUUACUUUAUAUUUCCAUGGAGUGUAAAGCCUUGACGGAGACAGACAGAUUGAAGAUGAACGAUGAGCCCUUUUCCAUGGGAUCUGGCCAGAGUGGACUCAACCCUAGCCAUGGACAUCAUUUUUUGAGGCAACCAUUUAAAAAAAAAAAUUAAGCUAUCAUGGAAUAGAAUCACAAAAGUUGUAAGAUAUUUUACAUAUUUGAAUUUAGGGAAUGGCAAACUAUGGCUUGCAGGCCAAAUGUGUUACAGCCUGUUUUUGUACAGCCUGUGAGCUAAGAAUGGUUUUUAUAUUUUAAAAGGACUUUUUUUUUAAAAAAAAAAAAAAAGGAAAAACAAUAUUCUACAGAGGUUGUGUGCAGCCCAUAAAACCUCAUAUGUUAACUAACUAGCCCUUUAUAGAAAAAGUUUGCUGAUCCCUGAUAACAUAUAGUGCUUUUAUUACAAAAGAUACAACUGUGGAAUUGAAUUAUUCACAAGAUAAGCAUAAAAUGUAUUAAAAAUAUUCAUUUGUUGUAUGAGUGGUCGUAUGAGC